UAGGGAAUCUUCGGCAAUGGACGAAAGUCUGACCGAGCAACGCCGCGUGAGUGAAGAAGGUUUUCGGAUCGUAAAACUCUGUUGUUAGAGAAGAACAAGGACGUUAGUAACUGAACGUCCCCUGACGGUAUCUAACCAGAAAGCCACGGCUAACUACGUUCCAGCAGCCGCGGUAAUACGUAGGUGGCAAGCGUUGUCCGGAUUUAUUGGGCGUAAAGCGAGCGCAGGCGGUUUCUUAAGUCUGAUGUGAAAGCCCACGGCUCAACCGGGGAGGGUCAUUGGAAAAUGGGGGACUGGGGUGCAGAAGGGGAGAGUGGAAGUCCAUGUGUAGCGGUGAGAUGCGUAGAUAUAUGGGGGAACACAAGUGGCAAAGGCGGAUCUCAAGUAUGUAACUGACGCUGAGGCUCGAAAGCGUGGGGAGCAAACAGG
RNAcentral lists this ribosomal RNA (429 nucleotides) under Gemmatimonadota bacterium. Its description in RNAcentral is "Gemmatimonadetes bacterium partial 16S ribosomal RNA". It matches the Rfam family "Bacterial small subunit ribosomal RNA", at positions 355 to 776 of the family's 1533-position model. The record is from RNAcentral. Lineage: Bacteria; Pseudomonadati; Gemmatimonadota.